RNAcentral lists this small nuclear RNA (113 nucleotides) under Papilio machaon (common yellow swallowtail). Its description in RNAcentral is "U2 spliceosomal RNA". It matches the Rfam family "U2 spliceosomal RNA", at positions 79 to 192 of the family's 192-position model. From Rfam's summary of the family: U2 is a small nuclear RNA (snRNA) component of the spliceosome (involved in pre-mRNA splicing). Lineage: Eukaryota; Metazoa; Arthropoda; Insecta; Lepidoptera; Papilionidae. The record is from Rfam by way of RNAcentral.
GGGACCAGUAUAUUAAACUGAUUUUUGUAAAGCGACGGGAUGUUCGGGGCUCGCUCCACUCCCGUCACGGGUCGGCCCGGCAUUGCAGUGCCGCCGGGAUCGGCCCACAAUAA